AUGGUGUACGAAACCGCAGAAAUGCACGGUGACCAUGAGCUGGUGCUCAAAUCAGCCAUGACUACGGUGAAGCCAGCACUGCCGAUGCACGAGCACCGCCUGCCGCUGUCUAACCUGGACCUGCUCCUGCCAGCGCUCGACGUCAGCGUCUUCUUCUGCUACCUACACCCGGCGCCCACCGCCUCUGCGCUGAAGGAGGCGCUGGCCAAGGUGCUGGUGACCUACUACCCGCUAGCCGGGGAGGUCGUGGCCAACGCUGUAGGGUAA
This 267-nucleotide ribosomal RNA is filed under the name Triticum aestivum (bread wheat). RNAcentral describes it as "partial small subunit ribosomal RNA". Lineage: Eukaryota; Viridiplantae; Streptophyta; Magnoliopsida; Poales; Poaceae. The record is from RNAcentral.